UGGGGAAUAUUGCACAAUGGGCGAAAGCCUGAUGCAGCAACGCCGCGUGCGGGAAGAAGGCCCUAGGGUUGUAAACCGCUUUCAGCAGGGACGAUAAUGACGGUACCUGGAGAAUAAGCCCCGGCAAACUUCGUGCCAGCAGCCGCGGUAAUACGUAGGGACCAAGCGUUGUUCGGAUUUACUGGGCGUAAAGGGCGCGUAGGCGGCAAUUCAAGUCAUCUGUGAAAUCUCCGGGCUUAACUCGGAACGGUCAGAUGAUACUGCUUUGCUAGAGUGCAGAAGGGGCAAUCGGAAUUCUUGGUGUAGCGGUGAAAUGCGUAGAUAUCAAGAGGAACACCUGAGGUGAAGGCGGCUAUCUGGACGACAACUGACGCUGAGGCGCGAAAGCGUGGGGAUCAAACAGGAUUAGAUACCCCUGUAGUCCCUGAGCGGGCUGGCAAGGCGCAU
RNAcentral lists this ribosomal RNA (447 nucleotides) under uncultured bacterium. Its description in RNAcentral is "bacterial SSU rRNA". It matches the Rfam family "Bacterial small subunit ribosomal RNA", at positions 355 to 825 of the family's 1533-position model. The record is from RNAcentral.